Molecule: ribosomal RNA, 484 nt
Filed under: uncultured bacterium
Lineage: Bacteria
Description: partial 16S ribosomal RNA
Rfam family: Bacterial small subunit ribosomal RNA
Source: RNAcentral
GAUGAACGCUGGCGGCGUGCUUAACGCAUGCAAGUCGAACGGUGAACACGGAGCUUGCUCUGUGGGAUCAGUGGCGAACGGGUGAGUAACACGUGAGCAACCUGCCCCUGACUCUGGGAUAAGCGCUGGAAACGGCGUCUAAUACUGGAUACGAGUAGCGGCCGCAUGGUCAGUUACUGGAAAGAUUUUUUGGUUGGGGAUGGGCUCGCGGCCUAGCAGCGUGUUGGUGAGGUAAGGGCUCACCAAGGCGGCGACGGGUAGCAGGCCUGAGAGGGUGACAGGCCACACUGGGGCUGAGGCACGGCACAGACUCCUACGGGAGGCAGCAGUGGGAAUAUUGCACAAUGGGCGAAAGCGUGAUGCAGCAACGCCGCGUGAGGGAUGACGGCCUUCGGGUUGUAAACCUCUUUUAGCAGGGAAGAAGCGAAAGUGACGGUACCUGCAGAACAAGCGCCGGCUAACUACGUGCCAGCAGCCGCCGUAA